GUGGGGAAUAUUGGACAAUGGGGGGAACCCUGAUCCAGCCAUGCCGCGUGUGUGAAGAAGGCCUUUUGGUUGUAAAGCACUUUAAGCGAGGAGGAGGCUACCGAGAUUAAUACUCUUGGAUAGUGGACGUUACUCGCAGAAUAAGCACCGGCUAACUCUGUGCCAGCAGCCGCGGUAAUACAGAGGGUGCAAGCGUUAAUCGGAUUUACUGGGCGUAAAGCGCGCGUAGGUGGCCAAUUAAGUCAAAUGUGAAAUCCCCGAGCUUAACUUGGCAAUUGCAUUCGAUACUGGUUGGCUAGAGUAUGGGAGAGGAUGGUAGAAUUCCAGGUGUAGCGGUGAAAUGCGUAGAGAUCUGGAGGAAUACCGAUGGCGAAGGCAGCCAUCUGGCCUAAUACUGACACUGAGGUGCGAAAGCAUGGGGAGCAAACAGGAUUAGAAACCCCGGUAGUCC
Molecule: ribosomal RNA, 451 nt
Filed under: uncultured bacterium
Lineage: Bacteria
Description: partial 16S ribosomal RNA
Rfam family: Bacterial small subunit ribosomal RNA
Source: RNAcentral